GUACUGGCACCGUCGGUUACUCCCUUCUGACGAACCAUGAUGUCAUUUAUUUGGUGUCGUGGGGAAUCAGGACUGUUACUUUGAAAAAAUUAGAGUGUUUAAAGCAGGCUCACGCUUGAAUACAUUAGCAUGGAAUAAUGAAAUAGGACGUUUGAUUCUAUUUUGUUGGUUUCUAGGAUCGACGUAAUGAUUAAUAGGGAUAGUUGGGGGCAUUAGUAUUCAAUUGUCAGAGGUGAAAUUCUUGGAUUUAUUGAAGACUAACUACUGCGAAAGCAUUUGCCAAGGAUGUUUUCAUUAAUCAAGAACGAAAGUUAGGGGAUCGAAGACGAUCAGAUACCGUCGUAGUCUUAACCAUAAACUAUGCCGACUAGGGAUCGGAUGAUGUUAAUUUUUUAAUGACUCAUUCGGCGCCUUACG
RNAcentral lists this ribosomal RNA (417 nucleotides) under uncultured Glomeromycotina. RNAcentral describes it as "SSU rRNA". It matches the Rfam family "Eukaryotic small subunit ribosomal RNA", at positions 677 to 1092 of the family's 1831-position model. Lineage: Eukaryota; Fungi; Glomeromycota. The record is from RNAcentral.